This 497-nucleotide ribosomal RNA is filed under the name uncultured bacterium. RNAcentral describes it as "partial 16S ribosomal RNA". It matches the Rfam family "Bacterial small subunit ribosomal RNA", at positions 28 to 507 of the family's 1533-position model. The record is from RNAcentral.
GAUGAACGCUGGCGGCGUGCCUAAUACAUGCAAGUCGAGCGAACAGACGAGGAGCUUGCUCCUCUGACGUUAGCGGCGGACGGGUGAGUAACACGUGGAUAACCUACCUAUAAGACUGGGAUAACUUCGGGAAACCGGAGCUAAUACCGGAUAAUAUAUUGAACCGCAUGGUUCAAUAGUGAAAGACGGUUUUGCUGUCACUUAUAGAUGGAUCCGCGCCGCAUUAGCUAGUUGGUAAGGUAACGGCUUACCAAGGCAACGAUGCGUAGCCGACCUGAGAGGGAGAUCGGCCACACUGGAACUGAGACACGGUCCAGAUCCCUACGGGAGGAAGCAGUAGGGAAUCUUCCGCAAUGGGCGAAAGCUUGACGGAGCAACGCCGCGUGAGUGAUGAAGGUCUUCGGAUCGUAAAACUCUGUUAUUAGGGAAGAACAAAUGUGUAAGUAACUAUGCACGUCUUGACGGUACCUAAUCAGAAAGCCACGGCUAACUACGUG